RNAcentral lists this ribosomal RNA (491 nucleotides) under uncultured bacterium. RNAcentral describes it as "partial 16S ribosomal RNA". It matches the Rfam family "Bacterial small subunit ribosomal RNA", at positions 29 to 507 of the family's 1533-position model. The record is from RNAcentral.
AGUGAACGCUGGCGGUAGGCCUAACACAUGCAAGUCGAACGGCAGCACAGUAAGAGCUUGCUCUUACGGGUGGCGAGUGGCGGACGGGUGAGGAGUACAUCGGAAUCUACUUUUUCGUGGGGAUAACGUAGGGAAACUUACGCUAAUACCGCAUACGACCUACGGGUGAAAGCAGGGGAUCUUCGGACCUUGCGCGAUUGAAUGAGCCGAUGUCGGAUUAGCUAGUUGGCGGGGUAAAGGCCCACCAAGGCGACGAUCCGUAGCUGGUCUGAGAGGAUGAUCAGCCACACUGGAACUGAGACACGGUCCAGACUCCUACGGGAGGCAGCAGUGGGGAAUAUUGGACAAUGGGCGCAAGCCUGAUCCAGCCAUACCGCGUGGGUGAAGAAGGCCUUCGGGUUGUAAAGCCCUUUUGUUGGGAAAGAAAAGCAGCAGGUUAAUACCCCGCUGUUCUGACGGUACCCAAAGAAUAAGCACCGGCUAACUUCGUG